GCCAGUAUGGUGUAGUGGUUUGGACAUUCGACUGUGACUCUGGAGAGCAGGGUUCGAAUCCCCACUUGGCC
This is a non-coding RNA of Phrynosoma platyrhinos (Desert horned lizard), 71 nucleotides long. NCBI's taxonomy places the organism in Eukaryota, Metazoa, Chordata, Lepidosauria, Squamata, Phrynosomatidae. The record is from the annotation of a GenBank genome assembly.